ACAUUUUCUGUGACAGUGCUUACGAAAAUUA
RNAcentral lists this small RNA (31 nucleotides) under Helianthus annuus (common sunflower). Its description in RNAcentral is "Iron response element II". It matches the Rfam family "Iron response element II". From Rfam's summary of the family: IRE, TFRC, SLC40A1, SDHB, SLC11A2, CDC42BPA, ACO2, ALAS2_H.SAPIENS, CDC14A, EPAS1, ALAS2, qoxD, Hao1, NDUFS1, transferrin, Aconitate. RNAcentral also lists the same sequence under 1 other name. The record is from RNAcentral. Lineage: Eukaryota; Viridiplantae; Streptophyta; Magnoliopsida; Asterales; Asteraceae.